RNAcentral lists this ribosomal RNA (419 nucleotides) under uncultured archaeon. RNAcentral's name for it is "partial 16S ribosomal RNA". It matches the Rfam family "Archaeal small subunit ribosomal RNA", at positions 323 to 746 of the family's 1478-position model. The record is from RNAcentral.
CUACGGGUGGCUCCAGGCGCGCAAACUUUACAAUGCGAGCAAUCGUGAUAAGGAAACCCUGAGUGCCUGUCGAUGCAGGCUGUUCAUAUAUCUAAAUCAUAUGUGAAGAAAGGGCAGGGCAAGACCGGUGCCAGCCGCCGCGGUAAUACCGGCUGCUCGAGUGAUGGCCACUAUUACUGGGUUUAAAGCGUCCGUAGCUUGACUGUUAGGUCUCUUGGGAAAUCUUCGCGCUCAACGUGAAGGCGUCUAAGAGAUACCGGCAGUCUUGGAACUGGGAGAGGUAAACCGUACUUCUGGGGUAGGAGUGAAAUCUUGUAAUCCUCGAGGGACGACCUAUGGCGAAGGCAGUUUACCAGAACAGCUUCGACAGUGAGGGACGAAAGCUGGGGGAGCAAACGGGAUUAGAUACCCCGGUAGUC